AAGUCGUAACAAGGUUUCCGUAGGUGAACCUGCGGAAGGAUCAUUACCGAGUUAGGGUCUCUAGGCCCGAACCUCCCACCCGUGCGUACCCUACCUCUGUUGCUUUGGCGGGCCCGUGGGGCGACCCACCGCCGGCCCCGGCCGGCCUGCGCCCGCCAGAGGACCCAUCAACUCCAUGAAUGGUGAUGUCUGAGCAAAAUACAAUAAUUAAAACUUUCAACAACGGAUCUCUUGGUUCUG
This 240-nucleotide unclassified non-coding RNA is filed under the name Symbiotaphrina sp. RNAcentral describes it as "partial contains small subunit ribosomal RNA, internal transcribed spacer 1, and 5.8S ribosomal RNA". The stretch from base 1 to 46 matches the Rfam family "Eukaryotic small subunit ribosomal RNA", at positions 1786 to 1831 of the family's 1831-position model. The record is from RNAcentral. Lineage: Eukaryota; Fungi; Ascomycota; Symbiotaphrinales; Symbiotaphrinaceae.